This 253-nucleotide ribosomal RNA is filed under the name uncultured bacterium. Its description in RNAcentral is "partial 16S ribosomal RNA". It matches the Rfam family "Bacterial small subunit ribosomal RNA", at positions 524 to 776 of the family's 1533-position model. The record is from RNAcentral.
UACGGGGGGGGCAAGCGUUGUUCGGAAUUACUGGGCGUAAAGGGCUCGUAGGUGGCCAACUAAGUCAGACGUGAAAUCCCUCAGCUUAACCGGGGAACUGCGUCUGAUACUGGAUGGCUUGAGUUCGGGAGAGGGAUGCGGAAUUCCAGGUGUAGCGGUGAAAUGCGUAGAUAUCUGGAGGAACACCGAUGGCGAAGGCAGGUCUCUGGGCCGAUACUGACGCUGAGGAGCGAAAGCGUGGGGAGCGAACAGG